GUGGCCCUCAGUAAUAUCAAAGAAGCUGACAAUACUGUCAUGUUCAUGCAGGGAAAAAGGCAGAAAGAAAUAUGGCAUCUCCUUAAAAUUGCCUGUACACAGAGUUCUGCCCGGUCCCUUGUAGGAUCCAGUCUAGAAGAGAGACUUCAGCACAAAUGAUAGAAGAAAAUUUGAACUGCCUUGGCCAUUUAAGCACUAUUAUUCAUGAGGCAAAUGAGGAACAGGGCAGUAGUAUGAUGAAUCUUGAUUGGAGUUGGUUAACAGAAUGAGUUGUCACUUGUUCACUGUUCCCAAACCUAUGGAAGUUGUUGCUAUACAUGUUGGAAAUGUGUUUUUCCCCCAUGAAACCAUUCUUCAGACAUCAGUCAAUGGAAGAAAUGGCUAUGAACAGAAACUACAUUUCUACUACGAUCAGAAGAACAUGAUUUUACAAGUAUAACAGUUUUGAGUAAUUCAAGCCUCUAAACAGACAGGAAUUUAGAAAAAGUCAAUGUACUUGUUUGAAUAUUUGUUUUAAUACCACAGCUAUUUAGAAGCAUCAUCAUGACACAUUUGCCUUCAGUCUUGGUAAAACAUUACUUAUUUAACUGAUUAAAAAUACCUUCUAUGUAUUAGUGUCAACUUUUAACUUUUGGGCGUAAGACCAAAUGUAGUUUUCUAUACAGAGAAGAAAAC
RNAcentral lists this small RNA (675 nucleotides) under Pan troglodytes (chimpanzee). RNAcentral's name for it is "processed transcript". The record is from RNAcentral. Lineage: Eukaryota; Metazoa; Chordata; Mammalia; Primates; Hominidae.